GACUCCUGACUCCUGACUGACUGACUCCUGACUCCUGACUCCUGACGUGGGAAGCUAUAGCAGGAGCAGCUCACUGGCCUGGCAGAACGACCACGUGUGAUUCCAGCCUCUAGCUGCAGAACUCCUUUCCCUAAGAUAGAACGGAUGGACCAUCGGCGACUGACAUAAUGCGGUGAAGAGUCAGGAUCCAGAUGCUGGGAUGCACCAGCCCGUCCACUACAUUGUGCAUUCACGGGAGGUGAAAUGAACAGGUGGACAUCUAAGGCCUACAGAAUCAUCUGCUGCCUGCAGCUGCUCAUGGGGCCUUCCGGGGACACAGUGAGCGCCGGGUGCUGUAGACAAUGGCGUGGCUUUGGGAGCAUAAGGCAAGAAAGCUCCACAAUGAGUGACUGCUUAACAAUGAUUUUCUUUGGAGACUGAAUUCUCCAAAGGUGUCAAGGAAGGCCCCCUCCAGGGCCACCGGGAAGGAGGCACCCUGGAAACGCUGUUCACACAUCCUGACAGGUGCGGUUUAAGUACAAUGGUUCGAAUGAGUGUU
Mus musculus (house mouse) is the source of this 538-nucleotide long non-coding RNA. RefSeq annotates it as predicted gene, 41796. The record is from RefSeq and is a predicted model, not a curated record. The transcript is spliced from 2 exons. NCBI's taxonomy places the organism in Eukaryota, Metazoa, Chordata, Mammalia, Rodentia, Muridae.